This 1525-nucleotide long non-coding RNA is filed under the name Populus tremula. Its description in RNAcentral is "long non-coding RNA (PTRE_LNC002605)". The record is from RNAcentral. Lineage: Eukaryota; Viridiplantae; Streptophyta; Magnoliopsida; Malpighiales; Salicaceae.
GAGGCUCAAAAAAUCUUACCUUUGUUUCUUUCUAUUGCAGGGCUGGGGGCGAUUGGAGUACAACUUAUGCUCCUUCACCAUUCUACAUGACAUCUAAGAUGAGGUCUCUUUACCUUGAAGGAUACGAUUAUUCAGUAUUCGACAUGACAAGACAUGACAGAGUUCAAAUACAGGUAAUUCUUGAUAAUUGUUGCAUAUUAAUUAUUAUUGGCCAUAGUGAGUGGUGAGAACAUUAUAUUGCAAAUACUUUGUACUGCAUAACACUCAGGAACUUAGAAUAAAAUUAUUCAUGAGGGUGUUACAAAUGCAUUGUAAUGACCAGUGUGAAGGCUGAAGCAAGAAAGCCAAUGACAGUGAGAAGCAAUUCUUUAUGCCAAUAAACAAUGUGAUUGCCAAGUGAAAAAUAUGUUUUCUGCGUAGAAUGUUUAGGUUUAAUGCAAUGAAUUAUUGGCAAACUUCAGAAUACACUGUUAACAGAAAUUUUCAUUGAAUGAGAAGUUUCUUUUUCAAACUUAAGUUACACUUGAAUAAAACACUCAAAAUUUAAAUGGAGAGAAAAAUAUUUCAAGUACUGAGCACACUCAUUCAGGGUUUAAACUUGCAGUUUCCUAUUUUCUGUAUAUUGGAGCUUGCAGAUUCAGAGCAAUUCAGUUCAAGGAAGAAUAUUGAAUGGCAACUCACCUUCUGAGAUUAUUGAAAACUUAACAGAAACUAUCGGGAGACCUCCCGAGCUUCCUAAGUGGAUUAUAUCUGGGGCUGUUGUUGGAAUGCAAGGUGGUACAGAAGCUGUACGCCGUGUUUGGGAUGAAUUGAAGGAUCAUAAGGUUCCUAUUUCAGCCUUUUGGUUGCAGGUAUUCCCUGUACCUAUACAGAAGCAUAUCAAAGCACAUCAAAAUCUACGGAAUCUUUCACAUUCACAAAUAUUUACAGCCAUGUUAAUUUUCUAUGAUUUUUAUAGUUAAAGAACAACUUUAAAAGGUUUAUAUUAUAUGUCAUUACAUAGAUGGUAUGUAUGAAUAGCUUCAUGUAGAAGUUCUCACCCUGAAGCACUUCAUUUGCAGGAUUGGGUAGGGCAGAGGGAGACAAUGAUUGGAUCACAACUGUGGUGGAAUUGGGAGGUAGAUACAGCAAGGUAUCAUGGAUGGCAGCAGCUAAUUAACGAUCUCGGUGCAAAGAAUAUUAAAGUGAUGACAUACUGCAAUCCUUGUCUAGCUCCGGUAUUUUUCUUUUUCCAAAAACUUAUGGUACUAAUAUUGUAAUUUGUAAAAAUUUCAAUACAUGAUCAUCUGGUGUGUGACAUACAGCCAUAUCAAUGUAUAGAGCAUGCUGUCGUUUCUUAAAGUAGGGUGUCUUUGCAUACUCUACAUCUCUUUUUAACAGUAAAUGAUGCUCCGCCCCUGAAACAUAUUUUGCUAUCAUUAUCAGUACCUGAGAGUUUGAGACUUGGUUGCUUUGCUUUAAACAGGCUGAUGAGAAACCAAACCAAAGGAGAAACCUUUUUGAGGAGGCAAAAAAGCUGGAUAUC